GACAGAGGCCUCAAGCGUUAGGCGGAAUCACUGGGCUUAAAGCGUGUGUAGGCGGAUCGUUAAGUGUCUUGUGAAAUCCCACGGCUCACCCGUGGAACUGCUGGGCAUACUGGCGAUCUUGGGCCAACUAGGGGCAGCCGGAACAAGCGGUGGAGCGGUGAAAUGCGUAGAUAUCGCUUGGAACGCCGAAGGUGAAAACAGGCUGCUGGG
This 210-nucleotide ribosomal RNA is filed under the name uncultured bacterium. RNAcentral describes it as "partial 16S ribosomal RNA". It matches the Rfam family "Bacterial small subunit ribosomal RNA", at positions 524 to 733 of the family's 1533-position model. The record is from RNAcentral.